GGCGGCAGGCUUAACACAUGCAAGUCGAGCGGUAGCAGAUCUAGCUUGCUAGAUGCUGACGAGCGGCGGACGGGUGAGUAACGCGUAGGAACCUGCCCAGUAGUGGGGGAUAGCCCGGGGAAACUCGGAUUUAAUACCGCAUACGCUCUACGGAGGAAAGAGGGGCUUCGGCUCUCGCUAUUGGAUGGGCCUGCGUGAGAUUAGCUAGUUGGUGAGGUAAUGGCUCACCAAGGCGACGAUCUCUAGCUGGUCUGAGAGGAUGAUCAGCCACACUGGGACUGAGACACGGCCCAGACUCCUACGGGAGGCAGCAGUGGGGAAUAUUGCACAAUGGGCGCAAGCCUGAUGCAGCCAUGCCGCGUGUGUGAAGAAGGCUUUCGGGUUGUAAAGCACUUUCAGUGGGGAGGAAGGCCUCGUAGUUAAUAGCUGCGAGGAUUGACGUUACCCACAGAAGAAGCACCGGCUAACUCCGUG
RNAcentral lists this ribosomal RNA (474 nucleotides) under uncultured bacterium. Its description in RNAcentral is "bacterial SSU rRNA". It matches the Rfam family "Bacterial small subunit ribosomal RNA", at positions 38 to 507 of the family's 1533-position model. The record is from RNAcentral.